Molecule: transfer RNA, 69 nt
Filed under: Marmota monax (woodchuck)
Lineage: Eukaryota; Metazoa; Chordata; Mammalia; Rodentia; Sciuridae
Rfam family: tRNA
About the family: Transfer RNA (tRNA) molecules are approximately 80 nucleotides in length. Their secondary structure includes four short double-helical elements and three loops (D, anti-codon, and T loops).
Source: Rfam by way of RNAcentral
GGAGUUGUGGCUCAACGGUAGAGCGCUCGUCUUGCACGUGCGAGACCCUGGGUUGGAGCCUCAGCACCA